This 503-nucleotide ribosomal RNA is filed under the name uncultured bacterium. RNAcentral describes it as "partial 16S ribosomal RNA". It matches the Rfam family "Bacterial small subunit ribosomal RNA", at positions 29 to 507 of the family's 1533-position model. The record is from RNAcentral.
AACGAACGCUGGCGGCGUGCCUAACACAUGCAAGUCGAACGAGAAAGGGGCUUCGGCUCCGAGUAAAGUGGCGCACGGGUGAGGAACACGUGGGUAACCUGCCUCUAAGAUUGGGAUAACUCGUCGAAAGAUGAGCUAAUACCGAAUAAGACCACAGUUCCCGCGGGAACAGGGGUCAAAGGUAGCCUCUGCUUGCAAGCUAUCACUUAGAGAUGGGCCUGCGCACCAUUAGCUAGUUGGUAGGGUAACGGCCUACCAAGGCAAAGAUGGUUAGCUGGUCGGAGAGGAUGAUCCGCCCCACUGGGACUGGGACACGGGCCAGGCUCCUACGGGGGGCCGCAGUGGGGGAUAUUGCGCCAUGGGCGAAAGCUUGACGCAGCAACGCCGGGGGAGUGAUGAAGGCCUUCGGGUCGUAAAGCUCUGUCGGGAGGGACGAAUGCUCCUGAGGUUAACAGCCUCGGGAGGUGACGGUACCUUCAAAGGAAGCACCGGCUAACUCUGUG